RNAcentral lists this long non-coding RNA (2333 nucleotides) under Mytilus galloprovincialis (Mediterranean mussel). The record is from RNAcentral. Lineage: Eukaryota; Metazoa; Mollusca; Bivalvia; Mytilida; Mytilidae.
UGUGGGAUCACGACUGAAUCCAGAAGACACCGACCAGUACAGAAGAUGCGAUUUAUAUUCGUGUUAACGUGUCUUCUACUCCUGAACGAAAAUACACUUUUCCGGUAUGUAUAAAAUUGUUUCUUAGCGAUAUGAAAUUCAUUUUACAAUUAAAACUAUAAUGCAACAUGCCGGUUCAGAAAAUUAAAUAUGUUGAAACAAGAAAAAAAACAUGUUGGAGAAUUUUUGAAGUUUGUAAAUUGGUUUAUGUCUUUCGUGUCCGUCAAUUAUGCAUUUACGGCUCAUUGUUAAAAAGUCAUGGUCAUGAGGAGAGACUCAACAACUGCAUGAUAGAUACUUAUAUGUAUAUAAUGUUUGUUCUUUUGUUGUUAUUUUUGUAUGAUGUAUUGUGUUCAUUUAUAUAUGCCUUCAACCCCAUUGGGGUAUAAAUGUGCAUUUAUUCAAUAAACAUAAACAUGUAAUGUACACUGUGUGGAAUUAACUCCCUUCCCUGUAUGUUUUGUUGCUGACUUUACUAGCUCUUUCUACAGCAUCAAAGUUUAGAAAAAAGGAAUAUUGACCAAUAUGCAUUUUGGACUAGAGGAGAAUAGUUGCUCUUCAUGUUGCAUUUGCUUUAAGGUAUAUAACGAUGAUUAUCGGUUAGGCAGCAAUCAUUUGAUUUUCUGGGGGGGGGGGGGGGCUAUGGUUUUUUUCUGGACAAUUUUUUUUUUUCUUUCAAUUUUAGCAUUACAUAUAUGCAGCUGUGGGGAAACAAACAUUUUUUUUUUCUCAGAAUCAAAACAAAUAUUUUUUCUCCAAAAACUGGAAACAAAUUUUUUUCCAAAAAAAACAAUAGCCCCCCCCCCCCAAUAAAAUGGUUGCUGCCUUACAUCAUUUUAACAUACCCUCAUCGUAUAGCGCCGGCAGCCAUCUAUCAAACGGCCCUAAAGGUCAAUAAGAUAAAGUAAUAUUGAAGUUUUCUGGAUCUUAACCACUUGAGAUCUUUAAUCAUUAAAUUAAAGUUUCAAAACAAAAAAUAACUCCCUCUCAAUAACUUUUUGUUUAUCUUUACAGGUCCAGAUACCAGUACAACAAAUACGCUGAUGCUGACAGAUCUGGACAUGAUGGAUUAUUUUGGGUAAUACUAUAAAAUGUUUGAUUUUGUAUUGUUUUAAUUUUCAUUUUAUUAUUUGCGCGGGAGAGGUUGUGGGUGCCCAAUAUCCUUCAAGUAUUGUUCGAGUUAUUUAUCCAUUUCAUUUUUGUAUGAUUGUAUAUUUGAUUAUGUAUCGUAUUUAGUAAAUAAGUCAACUUUUAAACCCGACUACAAAGAAUAGCCUAUGUUAAACAAAAUGGCAAUAUUAUAAGAUGUAAAAUAAAAUCCGUGAGGUUAAAUAUUUAUGACCCAUCCAAUCAAAAUACCAACCAACAAGCGAAUGCAAAGAAAGAAAACUCAGAUAUUGGCAUAUACAUGAAUACGUCGACUCGCUCGCAUCAGUGAAAAACAGAUUAGUACAUCAAAAUUUUUUUUGAGUUCAUAUUAUACUUGGAUUAAAUAAGAAAAUAUCAAAUAUCAUCUCGAAUCUGCAUGCCUUCGAUUACCUCACAGUGAAAAUACUUCAUUUAUUGUUUUCCAAUAAAACAAUAUCUAGGAUUAGGUUUUAUAGGGAUUUAACUGUACAUAUAUAUACAUGUACGUAAAUGUGAGACAUCAACCAAACAAAACACUUAAAUAGAAAAGGUAUCAAGAGGUCAUUUUACCUGCUUUCAAGGUAAUCGACAUCUUCGCUAGCCAAGGGUUACGAUCCACUCCCGCUCUCUUCACGUGAAGAGAGCGGGAGUGGAUCGUUACCCUUGGCUAGCGAAGAUGGGUAAUCGAUUACACUAACACAUUCAUGUAUCAUAAGGCACAGAUAACUGCAUGUGAAAGUCAAGCAAACUCUAAAUAAUAGCUGAUUUUACCCUUUUUUUAGGCAUUCACAAACUGUAUAAAACAUCUUACAUGAGGAAAAGAUGUGUGUUUAUUUCAACAGGUCACAAACCUAGCAACACAAUAAAACCUGAAUAAAAAAAAUUGACAAAUAGAAACGACAAAUGAUACCAAAUGGGAGUGUCAAAACUUCAAACCUAAAAGGUACCGACAAUAUCAUGCCAAACAAAAAGAAAAAAGGACAAAAAGACGAACAACAAUCUACAGAAAACAACAUAAAUUGAGCAAUACAACUCUUACAAAAAAUAUGUUUACUUUAGUCCUAUCUAACAUGCGCUACAUGUGGCACCCUUCUACCCCAUUCACAGUGUAUUUUCUUUUUACUUUUAGGGUCAACUUAGACAUCUUGAUGUCGUUUUGAUGUUGC